This is a small RNA of 234 nucleotides. It matches the Rfam family "Alphaproteobacterial sRNA ar45". The record is from Rfam.
ACCCAAUUCGCACGUGCCUGUGGCCGCGUGCUGGUCGGUGGGCAUCCGGACAAGAGGCCGGACAGCCGCCAGGGGUUGGAAGACGGAUGGAGGGGAUGGACAUCCCUCAAAUCACGCUUCCCGGUUCCCGCAAGGGAGCCGUUCCCCGACACAGACCAGCAGCCGGAGGCAAAACCGGCGAACCCCGAAUCUCCACGGGGGACGCAGCUUAAAGCAACGACGGAGCGGGCUUUU